RNAcentral lists this ribosomal RNA (253 nucleotides) under uncultured bacterium. RNAcentral describes it as "partial 16S ribosomal RNA". It matches the Rfam family "Bacterial small subunit ribosomal RNA", at positions 524 to 776 of the family's 1533-position model. The record is from RNAcentral.
UACAGAGGGUGCGAGCGUUGUUCGGAAUUAUUGGGCGUAAAGCGCAUGUAGGCGGUCUGUUAAGUCGCGUGUGAAAGCUUCCAGCUCAACUGGAAAAGUGCGCGCGAAACUGGUGGACUUGAGUGCUGGAGAGGGUGGCGGAAUUCCCGGUGUAGAGGUGAAAUUCGUAGAUAUGGGGAGGAACACCGGUGGCGAAGGCGGCCACCUGGACGGUCACUGACGCUGAGACGCGAAAGCGUGGGGAGCAAACAGG